This 806-nucleotide ribosomal RNA is filed under the name Stenotrophomonas sp. RNAcentral describes it as "bacterial SSU rRNA". It matches the Rfam family "Bacterial small subunit ribosomal RNA", at positions 68 to 902 of the family's 1533-position model. Lineage: Bacteria; Pseudomonadati; Pseudomonadota; Gammaproteobacteria; Lysobacterales; Lysobacteraceae. The record is from RNAcentral.
CACAGUAAGAGCUUGCUCUUAUGGGUGGCGAGAAUACAUCGGAAUCUACCUUUUCGUGGGGGAUAACGUAGGGAAACUUACGCUAAUACCGCAUACGACCUUCGGGUGAAAGCAGGGGACCUUCGGGCCUUGCGCGGAUACAUGAGCCGAUGUCGGAUUAGCUAGUUGGCGGGGUAAAGGCCCACCAAGGCGACGAUCCGUAGCUGGUCUGAGAGGAUGAUCAGCCACACUGGAACUGAGACACGGUCCAGACUCCUACGGGAGGCAGCAGUGGGGAAUAUUGGACAAUGGGCGCAAGCCUGAUCCAGCCAUACCGCGUGGGUGAAGAAGGCCUUCGGGUUGUAAAGCCCUUUUGUUGGGAAAGAAAAGCAGUCGAUUAAUACUCGGUUGUUCUGACGGACCCAAAGAAUAAGCACCGGCUAACUUCGUGCCAGAGCCGAAUACGAAGGGUGCAACGUUACUCGGAAUUACUGGGCGUAAAGCGUGCGUAGGUGGUUGUUUAAGCUGUUGUGAAAGCCCUGGCUCAACCUGGGAAUUGCAGGAUACUGGGGAUAGAGUGUGGAAAAGGGUAGGAAUUCCCGGUGUAGCAAUGAAAUGCGUAGAGAUCGGGAGGAACAUCCAUGGCGAAGGCCUACCUGGACCAACACUGAUGAGGCACGAAAGCGUGGGGAGCAAACAGGAUUAGACCCUGGUAGCCCACGCCCUAAACGAUGCGAACUGGAUGUUGGGUGCAAUUUGGCACGCAGUAUCGAAGCUAACGCGAUAAGUUCGCCGCCUGGGGAGUACGGUCGCAAGACUGAAAACUC